RNAcentral lists this ribosomal RNA (277 nucleotides) under uncultured eukaryote. RNAcentral's name for it is "partial 18S ribosomal RNA". It matches the Rfam family "Eukaryotic small subunit ribosomal RNA", at positions 21 to 295 of the family's 1831-position model. The record is from RNAcentral.
UAGUCAUAUGCUUGUCUCAAAGAUUAAGCCAUGCAUGUCUAAGUAUAAACAAGUUUUAUACUGUGAAACUGCGCACAGCUCAUUAUAUCAGCAAUAAUUUAUUUGAUGGUACCUUACUACAUGGAUACCCGUAGUAAUUCUAGAGCUAAUACAUGCGUAAAGUCCCGACUCUUUUUGGGAAGGGAUGUAUUUAUUAGAUAAAAAACCAAUGGCUUCGGCCUUCUUUGGUGAUUCAUAGUAACUGUUCGAAUCGCAUGGCCUCGUGCUGGCGAUAGUU